CUCUUUCCAGUUGAUGAUCAAUGCUUUUCCGGGAUUUCUCAUGGCAAUCAACACUUCGUCGAGACCUUUCCAUUUGAUCCAUGCGCAGCUUUUCUAGCUUAUCAGUAUUAUUAGACUGAUUUUUGAGUUUUUCCAGUUUGUCAGCAUGAUUGGAUUGGUUUUUCAGUUUCUCAGGCCUGUCAGUACUAUGCCUUGGUUUCUCUCUCCGGUCUGUACUUUUCCUUGAAACCUCAAAUACAUCAGUACUCUUCCGGGCUUGUUCAA
This 264-nucleotide unclassified non-coding RNA is filed under the name Hevea brasiliensis (rubber tree). The record is from RNAcentral. Lineage: Eukaryota; Viridiplantae; Streptophyta; Magnoliopsida; Malpighiales; Euphorbiaceae.